UCAAUUCUUUUCCGAAAGUUGUCGAAUUUUCGGAAUUUUCUCUCGAAUCACCAAGUGUCUUCCUCUGCUGGCCGUUCAUCAAACUUCAUGACUGAGACCGACGCCAUUGGACGCCACUAAACCCAUUGUAAACUCGCAACGACGCUCGCAACAAAACAUUUUCAAUUUCCGAACGUUGUGGAGUUUCGGUGUUGAAUUUAUUUUUAAUAAACAACGAAAUUCGGGAAAGUCGAUAUAUAUCUUAAACAAUUUCAUCAUUUCACUGACUUUCGUGCAAUUUUUUCAGUGGUGCUGGUUCUUGAAUCCGGAACUCGGAAAUAAAAUAAGUGAAAUGAUUAUUCCAAUUAAGAGGAGUGGGUAAUAAUCGAGUUACAAGGCGAUCUGUCACAUUCAAGCGGUAACAUCGAAAACAGCAGCUUCAUCGGUGAUCUUCACUUUACGAAAGAAGGCACUCCUAUCUUAAUAAUAGGAGUUCACGUGUUGUCUGGAAAAG
Molecule: unclassified non-coding RNA, 493 nt
Filed under: Venturia canescens
Lineage: Eukaryota; Metazoa; Arthropoda; Insecta; Hymenoptera; Ichneumonidae
Description: chromosome transmission fidelity protein 8 homolog, transcript variant X2
Source: RNAcentral